UACGGAGGGUGCAAGCGUUAUCCGGAUUCACUGGGUUUAAAGGGUGCGUAGGUGGGCUUGUAAGUCAGUGGUGAAAUCUCCGUGCUUAACAUGGAAACUGCCAUUGAUACUAUAGGUCUUGAAUUUUCCGGAGGUCAGCGGAAUAUGUCAUGUAGCGGUGAAAUGCUUAGAUAUGACAUAGAACACCGAUUGCGAAGGCAGCUGACUACAGGGAUAUUGACACUGAGGCACGAAAGCUAGGGGAGCAAACAGG
RNAcentral lists this ribosomal RNA (253 nucleotides) under uncultured bacterium. Its description in RNAcentral is "partial 16S ribosomal RNA". It matches the Rfam family "Bacterial small subunit ribosomal RNA", at positions 524 to 776 of the family's 1533-position model. The record is from RNAcentral.